GCCGGACACGGUGGCGUCACCUGUAGUCCCUGCUACUCUGGAGGCUGAGACAGAGGAUCACUUGAGUCCAGGAAUUCUGGGCUAUAGUGUACUGUGCUCAUUGGGUGUCCUCACUAAGUUCGGCAUCAAUAUGGUGACCUCCUGGGAGCAGGGGGACCACCAGGUUGCCUAAGGAGGGGUGAACUGGACCAGGUCAGAAAAAAAGAAGUUAGCUUUCUGUUCUAAAUCAAAACUCAAAGAUGCAGCAGCCUUGCCCUGCUCUCUACUAAAUGUUUGCCUCG
Cricetulus griseus (Chinese hamster) is the source of this 281-nucleotide unclassified non-coding RNA. It matches the Rfam family "Metazoan signal recognition particle RNA". From Rfam's summary of the family: The signal recognition particle (SRP) is a universally conserved ribonucleoprotein. It is involved in the co-translational targeting of proteins to membranes. The record is from Ensembl. Lineage: Eukaryota; Metazoa; Chordata; Mammalia; Rodentia; Cricetidae.